Molecule: non-coding RNA, 228 nt
Organism: Pelobates cultripes (western spadefoot toad)
Lineage: Eukaryota; Metazoa; Chordata; Amphibia; Anura; Pelobatidae
Source: the annotation of a GenBank genome assembly
GUGCCAUUUUCCUCUGACUAUGGUCACUUUGGGGUCCACUGGGGAUCAACUUCUUCGCAUCAUGGUUGAACUUCCAACUACCGAAAUUCUUUAGCUGGAGACCGGAACCAGAAACUUUGGCAUCAGACGCUUUCCUUCAGUCGUGGCAGGACACUCGGCACUAUGCUUUCCUUCCAUUCUCCCUGAUAGCUCGGACACUCAUUCAUCUCAGAUGCUACCAGACCUGCU